AGGACGAACGCUGGCGGCGUGCUUAACACAUGCAAGUCGAGCGGUAAGGCCUUUCGGGGUACACGAGCGGCGAACGGGUGAGUAACACGUGGGUGAUCUGCCCUGCACUUCGGGAUAAGCCUGGGAAACUGGGUCUAAUACCGGAUAUGACCUCAGGUUGCAUGACUUGGGGUGGAAAGAUUUAUCGGUGCAGGAUGGGCCCGCGGCCUAUCAGCUUGUUGGUGGGGUAAUGGCCUACAAGGCGACGACGGGUAGCCGACCUGAGAGGGUGACCGGCCACACGUGGGACUGAGACACGGCCCAGACUCCGUACGGGAGGCAGCAGGUGGGGAAUAUUGCACAAUGGGCGAAGCCUGAUGCAGCGACGCCGCGGUGAGGAUGACGGUCCGUUCGGGUUCGUAAACCUUCCGUUUCGACG
RNAcentral lists this ribosomal RNA (418 nucleotides) under uncultured soil bacterium. RNAcentral's name for it is "bacterial SSU rRNA". It matches the Rfam family "Bacterial small subunit ribosomal RNA", at positions 26 to 444 of the family's 1533-position model. The record is from RNAcentral.